Molecule: ribosomal RNA, 291 nt
Filed under: uncultured prokaryote
Description: partial 16S ribosomal RNA
Rfam family: Bacterial small subunit ribosomal RNA
Source: RNAcentral
GUGUCAGCAGCCGCGGUAAUACGUAGGUGGCAAGCGUUAUCCGGAAUUAUUGGGCGUAAAGCGAGCGCAGGCGGAUUCUUAAGUCUGAUGUGAAAGCCCCCGGCUCAACCGGGGAGGGUCAUUGGAAACUGGGAGACUUGAGUGCAGAAGAGGAGAGUGGGAUUCCAUGUGUAGCGGUGAAAUGCGUAGAUAUAUGGAGGAACACCAGUGGCGAAGGCCGCUCUCUGGUCUGUAACUGACGCUGAGGCUCGAAAGCGUGGGGAGCAAACAGGAUUAGAUACCCCUGUAGUC